AAAAGUUUAGCGGCCGCGGUAUUUUGACCGUGCGAAGGUAGCGUAAUCACUUGUCUUUUAAAUGAAGACCUGUAUGAAUGGCAUAACGAGGGCUCAACUGUCUCCUUUUUCCAGUCAGUGAAAUUGACCUGCUCGUGUAGAGGCGAGCAUAACCCCAUAAGACGAGAAGACCCUAUGGAGCUUAAAACACAAGAUCAACUAUGUUAUCAAGCCACCCACCCACGGAAAUAACAGCUAAAAGCAUAAUAGUCCCCUGAUCCUAAUGUUUUCGGUUGGGGCGACCACGGAGGACGAAAUAGCCUCCAUGUCGACGGGGGCGCUGCCCCUAAAACCUAGGGCGACAGCCCAAAUCAACAGAACAUCUGACGAACAAUGAUCCAGGCUACAAACCUGAUCAACGAACCAAGUUACCCUAGGGAUAACAGCGCAAUCCUUUCUAAGAGUCCAUAUCGACGAAAGGGUUUACGACCUCGAUGUUGGAUCAGGACAUCCUAUUGGUUCAUCCACUAUUAAGGG
This 516-nucleotide ribosomal RNA is filed under the name Acipenser brevirostrum (shortnose sturgeon). RNAcentral describes it as "partial 16S ribosomal RNA". It matches the Rfam family "Bacterial large subunit ribosomal RNA", at positions 1915 to 2571 of the family's 2925-position model. Lineage: Eukaryota; Metazoa; Chordata; Actinopteri; Acipenseriformes; Acipenseridae. The record is from RNAcentral.